GGGACACGUGGUAUCCUGUCUGAAUAUGGGGGGACCAUCCUCCAAGGCUAAAUACUCCUGACUGACCGAUAGUGAACCAGUACCGUGAGGGAAAGGCGAAAAGAACCCCGGCGAGGGGAGUGAAAAAGAACCUGAAACCGUGUACGUACAAGCAGUGGGAGCCUCUUUAUGGGGUGACUGCGUACCUUUUGUAUAAUGGGUCAGCGACUUAUAUUCUGUAGCAAGGUUAACCGAAUAGGGGAGCCGAAGGGAAACCGAGUCUUAACUGGGCGUUAAGUUGCAGGGUAUAGACCCGAAACCCGGUGAUCUAGCCAUGGGCAGGUUGAAGGUUGGGUAACACUAACUGGAGGACCGAACCGACUAAUGUUGAAAAAUUAGCGGAUGACUUGUGGCUGGGGGUGAAAGGCCAAUCAAACCGGGAGAUAGCUGGUUCUCCCCGAAAGCUAUUUAGGUAGCGCCUCGUGAAUUCAUCUCCGGGGGUAGAGCACUGUUUCGGCAAGGGGGUCAUCCCGACUUACCAACCCGAUGCAAACUGCGAAUACCGGAGAAUGUUAUCACGGGAGACACACGGCGGGUGCUAACGUCCGUCGUGAAGAGGGAAACAACCCAGACCGCCAGCUAAGGUCCCAAAGUCAUGGUUAAGUGGGAAACGAUGUGGGAAGGCCCAGACAGCCAGGAUGUUGGCUUAGAAGCAGCCAUCAUUUAAAGAAAGCGUAAUAGCUCACUGGUCGAGUCGGCCUGCGCGGAAGAUGUAACGGGGCUAAACCAUGCACCGAAGCUGCGGCAGCGACACUAUGUGUUGUUGGGUAGGGGAGCGUUCUGUAAGCCUGUGAAGGUGUGCUGUGAGGUAUGCUGGAGGUAUCAGAAGUGCGAAUGCUGACAUAAGUAACGAUAAAGCGGGUGAAAAGCCCGCUCGCCGGAAGACCAAGGGUUCCUGUCCAACGUUAAUCGGGGCAGGGUGAGUCGACCCCUAAGGCGAGGCCGAAAGGCGUAGUCGAUGGGAAACAGGUUAAUAUUCCUGUACUUGGUGUUACUGCGAAGGGGGGACGGAGAAGGCUAUGUUGGCCGGGCGACGGUUGUCCCGGUUUAAGCGUGUAGGCUGGUUUUCCAGGCAAAUCCGGAAAAUCAAGGCUGAGGCGUGAUGACGAGGCACUACGGUGCUGAAGCAACAAAUGCCCUGCUUCCAGGAAAAGCCUCUAAGCAUCAGGUAACAUCAAAUCGUACCCCAAACCGACACAGGUGGUCAGGUAGAGAAUACCAAGGCGCUUGAGAGAACUCGGGUGAAGGAACUAGGCAAAAUGGUGCCGUAACUUCGGGAGAAGGCACGCUGAUAUGUAGGUGAAGUCCCUUGCGGAUGGAGCUGAAAUCAGUCGAAGAUACCAGCUGGCUGCAACUGUUUAUUAAAAACACAGCACUGUGCAAACACGAAAGUGGACGUAUACGGUGUGACGCCUGCCCGGUGCCGGAAGGUUAAUUGAUGGGGUUAGCGGUAACGCGAAGCUCUUGAUCGAAGCCCCGGUAAACGGCGGCCGUAACUAUAACGGUCCUAAGGUAGCGAAAUUCCUUGUCGGGUAAGUUCCGACCUGCACGAAUGGCGUAAUGAUGGCCAGGCUGUCUCCACCCGAGACUCAGUGAAAUUGAACUCGCUGUGAAGAUGCAGUGUACCCGCGGCAAGACGGAAAGACCCCGUGAACCUUUACUAUAGCUUGACACUGAACAUUGAGCCUUGAUGUGUAGGAUAGGUGGGAGGCUUUGAAGUGUGGACGCCAGUCUGCAUGGAGCCGACCUUGAAAUACCACCCUUUAAUGUUUGAUGUUCUAACGUUGGCCCCU
Molecule: ribosomal RNA, 1832 nt
Filed under: Escherichia coli
Lineage: Bacteria; Pseudomonadati; Pseudomonadota; Gammaproteobacteria; Enterobacterales; Enterobacteriaceae
Description: partial 23S ribosomal RNA
Rfam family: Bacterial large subunit ribosomal RNA
Source: RNAcentral